Molecule: long non-coding RNA, 2629 nt
Organism: Pistacia vera
Lineage: Eukaryota; Viridiplantae; Streptophyta; Magnoliopsida; Sapindales; Anacardiaceae
Exons: 5
Source: RefSeq, a predicted model, not a curated record
GAUCGUUUGAUCCGCUUUUGCGAGGUCAUGAUCCAUGGACAGUCUUGUUUCCAAUCGAGUAGAUCUAGGCUUAUGCUGUUUCUGGAAACGGUCUUUGGAUCUGGACGAAGGAUGGACGGAUUUUAUGUCUGCCCUACCUGUGCGUAUCAGAUCAGAUCUGCUGAAGCUGCCUUAUGAGACGGGAUCGAGAUCGUUAUGGUGCGGUAGAUCAUAGAAGCUGUUAAUAGUUGGCAGGAAUUAUAGUAAGCUAGACAAAGGUUGACUUAUGCUGGGUAAUUUAUUCACAGUAUUGUUUUAUUAUCGUUGUUAUGGUUUUGAAGAAGUUAUGUGUUGUGAGGAAGAAAAAAAUUGUGGCGUUGGAAAAGAAUGUUAUGGAAAAAAUUAUGUGAUAGUGAGCAAAAAAAAGAGAGGUAAGAUUUGUGAGGUUAAGAUGUGAGAGAUGAAUUUACGCUGUGUGGUUGUGAUCGACCUUUGCCAUGUCAGGUGCGCUUGCAUGGCAGGUCAAAAACCCUAAUAAAAUUAUUAUUAUUUUUGUUUUCGGGGGAGAUGGUACGGGGGUUUUAUUUUUUUUAUCCCCGGCUCUCCCCCUUGCUGGUGUUCUUGCCUUUUUUUUUCCUGUGUUUCCCUCUUUGGUUUCUUGCUGCUUGACUGAAUUGUUUGGUUCUAUGCCAAACAUGCAACCACUUACAGUCUAAAGGCAAUAUAGAUUUCCCCACACAGUUUGAAAUUGAUCAGCACACAGUGCAGGGCACUCUUCGCGAAGGAACAAUCCCAAGGUACAAUCCACUGACACAUAAGUUUAAUUUGUCUUCUCUUAUUUGGCUCAUUUAGUACAUAAAGAAUGGUAACAGGCAUCGCAUGUAGUAUGACAAUACUUUUAAUUAUCUCAGCACACAUUUACAUAUUGGCUCUUUUAACAAUGCUCAUCAGAAGUCUAUUUCCAUAUUGCGUAUAUUAUUUUAAACACAAUCUUUUAUCGGAUAUAUGACCAACCACUUUAUCACGCAAAAUGACUAUUAGUAACAUUUGUCUUAAUUAUAUCAUUUUGAACUUACCUGUCUACUGGCUCUAAGAAAUCACUUUUUAAGAAUAUUUUCAAGUUGAUUAUCACUUUGAAAAACCCUGUUUAUCGGCCACGUCAUUUCUUGUCUUAUAUACCUAAUCAGUCUAAAUUAUCAUACAUAAUCAGUCUAAAUUGUCAUUCCUAAUCAGUCUAAAUUAUUAUACGUAAUCAUACUGAUUUAUAUUUUAAUAAUCAUUCUAAAUCUUAUAUACAUUGUGGCUAACAUUUUAUCAAUCUGCGAUCUCUUCACUGUGAUCUUUGCCAAAUUUUAUGUUCUAGUAUAGCAUAGCCAUACACAAUUUUUAGGCUGUCAUUCAGUUCUUAUCUAAUAAACUGAAAAUAUGUGAAAUUAGCAUGGGUAUAUUGAGAGUAAAUGAACCUAUAAAUCAUGGUACGGGCAAAUAAAUUAUAUUAUUACCUGUUUCGUAAUUCAGUUUUUUGGGUUUAUAAGGUGUUAUGAGAUUGUCAAAUCAAUUAUUUUUGUUAUGUGCGAUUUUAGUGUGAUGCGAUAAAAAACGAUACCAUUUUCUUCUGUGUGAUUUGGUCCUGAUAUUCGUUGUUGGACCAUUUUAGUUUAUGAUUUUUGAUGUCUAUUAAUUGGUGGGGGUUAGGAGCUGUUGUACUCUUGAAGGUCUUGUAUUUGUGUAUCAUAUUGUAAGGGGAUGAAGCUUGUUGUACCUAGCAUCUGAGAACUUUAUCGUUGUGAAGAUUCUCUUUUGUUGGAUGUGGAAUGAUACCAGCUGGAGCACCGCGGUGGAAAGAUUAUUUCUGCUUAUGUUGGUUGUCAAGGUCUUGUCUUGGAGCUGCUUUUGGACGCGUCAAUUAUUUUAUUAUAUGAGGAAUAUGAUGCCAAAUAUUUGCAUGUGAAUAUCUGAUUUUGGAUACCGACUGAUGGAACCAUCUUCCUGGCGUGGUCUACUGCGCGGCAACUGUUGAAGAAACUAGUAAUCCACUCAUACAAGGUUCCAUCGCUUUCAGCAGGCAUUUUACGGUGUUUUUGGCUUGUUCAGUUCUGCCUCAUAAUGUUCAGUUCUGCUAUGAUCGGAGAGACAUUUAAGGUCUACCUUGUGACAUGUCUCAUCAUGUCUGGCGACUAAGAGCUUGCCUUCUGGUUUCAGCGUGCUUUCUGAUGGUUGCCUUUUACAUGUACCUCUGGCGACUGUUUUUUGCUUUUGAUUUAAUCUGUUACAUAAGAUCUGACAAGAGUAGUGCAAGGUGAACUUAAUGUUUUCUCUUUCGUUUGUUCGUAGUAGUCGUUCGUGUUUAUUGGCGGAUGCUUCAUGUGUAACCAGUCAGAUCGGUUCUGAUGUUUUUAUCGAAAUGUUGGAUUUCCAUUGGUGAUGAACUGGAACUGCAAGGGAUGUCUAUCGGAGUUUUGGCUAUCUGAUGUCCUAAUAUUUUUGCUUGUAGAGGUGAAUAAUUUGCCCAACUGGAGGUUGAAUGAACGAUAGAUAUGUUUUAUGAAAAUAUUAAAUACUAGCGUCGGAAUUCGCAAUGACGAAAGACAGUUUAAAUAAUUGUUCUUUUGUUUGCCUUAUUAAGAGUUUAAAAAUUAUUUCUUAUUUA